GUAGAUAUGGCUCAGUGGGAGAGCCUCUCUUUGGCAUGCGGGAGGUCCUAGGUUUAAUCCCUUGCAUCUUCGUCUACA
Molecule: transfer RNA, 78 nt
Filed under: Sphaerodactylus townsendi
Lineage: Eukaryota; Metazoa; Chordata; Lepidosauria; Squamata; Sphaerodactylidae
Description: tRNA-Ala
Source: RNAcentral